GAUUACUUCAUGCACAUAAAAGAAAACGCAACUACAGUGGACCCUGAACAACGUAGAAGGUGGGGCAAGAGGAUGGUGGUGAACAUUUUCCUUCUUUCACACACACAUGCCUUGGCAUUGCGUUUGCCUGCAUGCAGCUAUGGCCUGCAGCCACUGAAGAAUGCUUGCAUAAGGAGCUCUUCUCUGCACAUACCCCGACACAGUGAUGGUAUCUUGCAGCUGCUGCUUCUGUCCAAGGCACUGCAGCCUACUCGUCAAAAGCCCGAAGCCCAGCUCUGCCAGCAGUGCACUGUGUGCUCUUAGGAAACAGAGAAGCAAAGAAGUUAGCAAGCUUGUUUUGGCAGAAGAAAAAACACAAAAUACCCAACCACAGAUCCUCAAAAAUAUUGCUAAGCACUAAUUUUGCUAACAUGUUAGACAGCCUUCGGAUCUAGGCAAUCUUGUUCCUCAGCUGGAAAGAGUUCCUGCCAGCCAUGUGAUUCCAAAUCCACCCUGGACAUAUGGGGAUAAUGAGAAAAUCAGCUCCGGCCUUCCCUGGCCUUCCAGCCAAGUGAAUGGGGGCAUCCCCUGGUGCUUCAGCCCGGGGCCCACCCAGAGGAUGCUAGCUGGCCUGCAGAGGCCUCAACCAUGCCCUCCUGGACUCAGGUAAGACUGAGGUUUCCAUGCCCUCAAAACAAUUGUUCAGACAAAAACUCACUGCCCAGGUCAAAGUCACAGCACCAGAAAGCCAACCUGAGGAUGAAGACAAAGCUCUUUGUUGGCACAGUCCCCUGAUCAUUCGAGGUCAGCAUCUCCAUCAAAAUGGACCCAAUGCUGAGGCAAGAAGGAGAACAUCACUGUUAAGAAGAUGGAAAAUGCAUUUGAGGUGGACUGAACACAGCCAGGAGUUUUUGCUUAUCGACAGCACUGAAUCCUGCCUUGACUAGAGAGACUCGUCAUGUGAUCAACUGUGGCCAGAGGGCAUCCUGCAGACAGCUCCUGUCACACCACACUGACCAGACUCUUAUGAGUAUUUAAGCAUCUUCAGGGAAGCGAUUGACUGUCUUAUAAUGGUCUUACAAGUACGGAACUUUAUUACCUGCUAAUAAUCAGAGCACAUGAUGGCACAAUAGAAUAUACGAGUGAAGUUCUAAAUGCAAGGUUGUUCUUAUUCUGUGAGUGGCAAAACUCAUGCAGUGAGCAGAUAAAGCUGGCAGGAGGCAUUGGCGCCCUAAUGCUGGGCACUAACCACCUGCCCGGACUGCGAAUAUCUGUUGGGUCCUUUCUAUAUCUGGUCUAUUCUCGUGUUUGAUUAUAUCCUGGUGGCAAGAAUAGCAAAAUCAACUCUCCUUCCUAUCCCAUGUGGAGAGGCAUGAUUUGAGUCAGAGAGCAUUAUCCUCUCUGCGUUAUCCAACCCCAUGUCCCAUGAUGCACUUUGUAGACAAGCAAGUGUCCCUGGUGGAGAAUCCACAGCCACACAUCCUCAUUGGUUGCAAGGAUCAGUGUCCAAUAUCUACUGCCAUGAUCAUUCUCAGUUUUACAUCCACAGAGCUUCAUAGAAUUCUAACACCACAGGUCCAAGUAGAGGUUUUGGCCUCAGAGUGGGCUAGAUUCCACCUCUGACAGCAGCUGUGGGACUGUUUUUCCAUCUGUAAAAUGGAGACAAGAGUAUCACCUACCUCAUGGUGUUGGUGGGAUCGUUAAACAGAAUUCCGAUCAUGAAACCCUUAGCCUGCUCCCUGCAUAGGCUGCAUGCGCUCAGUGAGCUAUGGCUCUGUUUCAUGCUGACUUUACCAUCAUGUAAGCAGUUUUAAAAAUGCUAGAAGCUUUAGUCAUAGAAUUACCAUAUGAUACAGCCUACUGCAGAGUCCAGAGGCUGAGGCAGGAGAGUUACUUGAACCUGGGAGGCGGAGGUUGCAGUGAGCCAAGAUCGCGCCACUGCACUCCAGCCUGGGCAACAGAGUGAGAUUCUGUCUCAACACAAAAAAGAAGACAUGUGUCCCCAUCACAGUAUCAUACAGAGUGCUUCCACUGCCCUAAAAUACCCUGUGCUCUUCCUAUUCAUCCCUCUCUUCAACCCCAGCAACCACUGAUCCUUUUACCAUCUCCAUGGUUUUGCCUUUCCCAGAAUGUCAUAUUGUUGGAAUCAUACGCUAUGUAGCCUUUGCAAAUGGGCUUCUUUCACCGAGCAAUGUGCAUUGAAGGUGCCUCUAUGACUUUUCAAGGGUUGAUAGCUCAUUCCUUUUUAUUGCUAAAUAAUAUUCCAUUGUCUGAAUGUACCACAUUUUGUUUAUCCAUUCACCUACUAAAGGACAUCUUGGUUGCUUCCAAGUUUGGGCAAUUAUAAAUAAAACUGCUAUAAACAUUGUGUGCAGGUUUUUUUUUCUAGAUGUCAGUUUUUAACUCAUUUGGACUAUAGAGCACUAUUGCUGGAUCAUAUGAUACGUGUGUGUUUAGUUUUAUGAGAAACUGCCAAACUGUCUUCCAAAGUGGCUGCACCAUUUUGCAUUCCCACCGUCAAUGAAUGAGAGCUCCGGUUGUUCCACAUCCUCACCAGCAUUUGGUGUUGUCAUUGUUUUGGAUUUUAGCCAUUUCAUAGGUGUGUAGAGGUAGCUCAUUGUUUUAAUCUAAUAAACAUCUUAUUGAAGAAUAACACACAAGCAGAAAAUUUCAGAGAUACAAACGAACAGCUUUUUCAACCAUCACCCACUGGAUACAGUUCUGUAUCCAGCACCCAGGCCAAGAAACUGACACUAACGGUGCCCUGUGCCC
Molecule: long non-coding RNA, 2751 nt
Filed under: Homo sapiens (human)
Lineage: Eukaryota; Metazoa; Chordata; Mammalia; Primates; Hominidae
Description: HSALNT0234869
Source: RNAcentral